AGUGGCGGCGGCGGCGGGUCCGGAGGUGGCGGCAGGUGGCCCCGCGCGCGGCGGCCGGCCCGGCCGGGGGCGGGCGGGAAGGUGGCGCCUCGGGCGGGGGCCGGUCCCUGCACCAGGUGACCUGUUCCGGCCCGGAUCCGGGCGGCCUCGCCAUGCAGCGGCGCGGCGCGGGGCUCGGGUGGCCGCGGCAGCAGCAGCAGCAACCCCCGCCGCUCGCGGUCGGCCCCCGGGCCGCAGCCAUGGUCCCGAGUGGCGGCGUCCCCCAGGGCCUCGGCGGCCGCUCUGCCUGCGCGCUGCUCCUGCUCUGCUACCUGAAUGUUGUACCAUCUUUGGGUAGGCAGACUUCCCUGACGACAUCAGUGAUACCCAAAGCUGAGCAGAGCGUGGCUUACAAAGACUUUAUUUAUUUUACUGUCUUUGAAGGAAACGUUCGCAACGUUUCUGAAGUCUCGGUUGAGUAUUUAUGCUCUCAGCCUUGUGUUGUCAAUUUGGAAGCAGUUGUUUCAUCUGAGUUCAGAAGUAGCAUUCCCGUGUACAAAAAAAGGUGGAAGAAUGAGAAACAUCUUCACACCAGCAGGACACAAAUAGUACAUGUGAAAUUUCCAAGCAUUAUGGUUUACAGAGAUGAUUAUUUCAUCAGACAUUCCAUCUCUGUAUCUGCAGUGAUAGUACGCGCCUGGAUUACUCACAAAUACAGUGGCAGAGACUGGAAUGUUAAAUGGGAGGAAAACUUGCUCCAUGCUGUAGCAAAGAAUUAUACCCUCCUGCAGACCAUCCCGCCUUUUGAACGCCCUUUCAAAGAUCAUCAAGUGUGCCUUGAGUGGAACAUGGGUUAUAUUUGGAACCUUCGGGCAAACAGGAUUCCACAGUGUCCUCUGGAAAAUGAUGUGGUUGCCCUGCUUGGCUUUCCUUAUGCCUCCAGUGGAGAAAACACAGGCAUUGUCAAGAAGUUCCCGAGGUUUCGGAACCGAGAGCUGGAGGCCACUCGACGCCAGAGGAUGGAUUACCCAGUGUUUACUGUUUCAUUGUGGCUUUAUUUACUCCAUUAUUGCAAGGCCAACCUCUGUGGGAUUCUGUACUUUGUUGACUCUAAUGAGAUGUACGGCACACCUUCUGUAUUUCUUACGGAAGAGGGCUAUUUGCAUAUUCAGAUGCAUCUUGUCAAAGGGGAAGACCUUGCUGUAAAAACUAAAUUCAUCAUACCUUUGAAGGAGUGGUUUCGACUGGAUAUCUCUUUUAACGGAGGCCAGAUAGUAGUAACCACUAGCAUUGGACAGGAUUUGAAAAGCUACCACAAUCAGACCAUUAGCUUCCGGGAGGAUUUCCAUUAUAAUGACACAGCUGGGUACUUCAUUAUUGGAGGGAGCAGGUAUGUGGCUGGCAUUGAAGGGUUUUUUGGACCCCUGAAGUACUAUCGCCUUCGCAGUCUGCACCCCGCCCAGAUUUUUAAUCCCCUCCUUGAGAAGCAACUUGCUGAACAAAUCAAGUUAUAUUAUGAAAGGUGUGCUGAGGUUCAAGAAAUAGUAUCUGUGUAUGCAUCUGCAGCAAAGCACGGGGGCGAGAGACAAGAAGCAUGCCACCUCCACAACUCCUACCUGGACCUCCAGCGCAGGUAUGGGAGACCCUCGAUGUGCAGAGCCUUCCCCUGGGAGAAGGAGCUGAAAGACAAACACCCCAGCUUGUUCCAGGCAUUGCUGGAGAUGGAUCUGCUGACCGUGCCAAGGAACCAAAAUGAAUCUGUAUCAGAAAUCGGUGGGAAGAUAUUUGAGAAGGCUGUAAAGAGACUCUCUAGCAUUGAUGGUCUUCACCAAAUUAGCUCUAUCGUCCCCUUUCUGACGGAUUCCAGCUGCUGUGGAUACCAUAAAGCAUCCUACUACCUUGCAGUCUUUUAUGAGACUGGAUUAAAUGUUCCUCGGGAUCAGCUGCAGGGCAUGUUGUAUAGUUUGGUUGGAGGCCAGGGGAGUGAGAGGCUGUCUUCAAUGAAUCUUGGGUAUAAACACUACCAGGGUAUUGACAACUACCCCCUGGACUGGGAACUGUCGUAUGCCUACUACAGCAACAUUGCCACCAAGACACCCCUUGACCAGCACACACUGCAAGGAGAUCAGGCAUAUGUUGAAACAAUUAGACUAAAAGAUGAUGAAAUACUCAAGGUACAAACCAAAGAAGAUGGAGAUGUCUUUAUGUGGUUGAAGCAUGAAGCUACCCGAGGCAAUGCAGCAGCUCAGCAACGAUUGGCCCAGAUGCUGUUCUGGGGGCAGCAAGGUGUGGCCAAGAAUCCCGAAGCAGCAAUUGAGUGGUACGCCAAGGGCGCCCUGGAGACGGAGGAUCCUGCGUUAAUCUAUGACUAUGCCAUUGUGCUAUUCAAGGGUCAAGGAGUAAAAAAGAACAGACGGCUUGCCUUAGAGCUGAUGAAGAAAGCAGCUUCCAAGGGAUUGCAUCAGGCAGUCAAUGGCCUGGGAUGGUAUUACCACAAAUUCAAGAAAAAUUACGCCAAAGCAGCAAAGUACUGGUUAAAAGCAGAAGAAAUGGGGAACCCAGAUGCGUCAUACAAUCUUGGAGUCCUGCAUUUGGAUGGCAUCUUCCCUGGAGUUCCUGGAAGGAAUCAAACUUUAGCUGGUGAAUAUUUCCAUAAGGCUGCGCAAGGUGGACACAUGGAAGGGACCUUGUGGUGUUCUCUCUACUAUAUCACAGGCAACCUGGAGACAUUCCCUAGAGAUCCUGAGAAAGCUGUUGUAUGGGCAAAACAUGUAGCUGAGAAAAAUGGCUACUUGGGCCAUGUCAUCCGCAAAGGCCUCAAUGCCUACCUGGAAGGUUCAUGGCAUGAAGCUUUGCUGUAUUAUGUUUUAGCAGCAGAAACUGGAAUUGAAGUGUCACAGACAAAUUUAGCACACAUCUGUGAGGAGAGGCCAGACCUGGCCAGGAGAUACUUGGGUGUUAACUGUGUUUGGAGAUACUAUAAUUUCUCUGUUUUUCAAAUCGAUGCUCCUUCCUUUGCAUAUUUGAAGAUGGGAGACCUUUACUACUAUGGCCACCAAAACCAGUCACAAGACCUGGAGUUGUCUGUGCAGAUGUACGCCCAAGCCGCCCUGGAUGGAGACUCCCAGGGAUUUUUUAACCUGGCCCUGCUAAUCGAGGAAGGUACGAUAAUCCCACACCAUAUCUUGGAUUUCUUGGAAAUUGACUCAACUCUCCAUUCUAAUAACAUCUCCAUUCUCCAGGAACUGUACGAAAGGUGCUGGAGCCACAGUAACGAGGAGUCCUUCAGCCCCUGCUCCUUGGCCUGGCUUUACCUGCACUUGCGGCUUCUCUGGGGUGCUAUCCUGCACUCAGCCCUGAUCUACUUUCUGGGAACCUUUCUGCUAUCCAUAUUGAUCGCCUGGACUGUGCAGUAUUUCCAGUCUGUCUCAGACCCCCAGGAACAAAAUAUAACAGAGUAGUGUAAAAGUUUGUCCUCUCCAGCAAUCUCAUGGCAAAAAGGCUCGAAAGCACAACUGUGCAAACACAUUUGAAGACGUCCAUCAUGUCACUUCCACUGAGAUCCCACUGGCGAAAGCAAGUCACAUGGAGACAGAUUUUCACUCUCGUUGCCUGGGCUGAAGGGCAGUGGCACGAUCUCGGCUCACCGCAACCUACGCCUCCCGGGUUCAAACGAUUCUCUUGCCUCAGCCUCCCAAGUAGCUGGAAUUACAGGCAUGUGCCACCACGCUAGGCUAAUUUUGUAUUUUUAGUAGAGACGGGGUUUCUUCAUGUUGGUCAGGCUGGUCUCACACCCCUGACGUCAGGUGAUCUGCCUGCCUCAGCCUCCCAAAGUGCUGGGAUUACAGGCGUGAGCCACCACGCCCAGCCUAGUAAUAAUACUUACUACCCAAGAGCUAUUAACCUCCUGAUCCAAUAAUCUUAUAUGACUAGCAUGUAUCAUGGCUUGUAUAGUAAAAAUACCUCUAUAUGGACUUCACCUAAGACUCCUCAAAGCUCAUAUAGAAGCUCAAUAGUUCUUGCAGCAGUACUCCUAAAGCUAGGCAGUUACGGUAUGAUACAGCUUACUCUUAUCCUCACCCCCCUAACAGAAUAGAUAGCCUGUCUGUUCCUCAUCUUGUCCCUAUGAGGAAUAGCUCUGUUUGUCUACGAUAAACUGAUCGAAAAUCACGUAUUGGCUACUCCUCCGUAAGCCACAUAGCACUUGUUAUUAUGCCUAUCCUCAUCCAGACCCUUGAAGCUUUAUAGGUGCAAUCACCCUUAUAAUUGCUCGCGCAUUCACUUCAUCCUUACUAUUCUGCCUAGCAAAUUCAAACUAUGAGCGAGUCCAUAGAUGAACCAUAUUACUUACCCGAGGGCUUCAAACACUGCUCCCACUAAUAGCCUCUUCUAGCAAAUCUUACUAACCUUGCCUUACUCCCUACCAUUAAUCUAGCAGGAGAACUCUUUGUGACUAUGGCCUCAUUCUCCUGAUCAAAUGUCACUAUUAUGCUUAUAGGACUUAAUAUACUAAUUACAGCCCUUUCCUCCCUGUAUAUGCUAAUCAAGACACAAUGAGGGACACUUGCAUAUUAUAUUAACAGUAUUAAACCUUCCUUUACAUGAGAAAAUACAUUAAUACUUAUACAUCUUGAGCCUAUCUUCCUAUUAUCCUUAAACCCUAAAAUUAUUAUAGGGUUUGCAUGCUGUAGCUAUAGUUCAACCAAAACAUUAGAUUGUGGAUCUAACAAUAGAAGCCUGCAACUUCUUACCUAUCAAGAAAGUAUGCAAGAACUGACAGCUCAUGCCCCCAUGCCUGAUAAUAUGGUUUUCUCAACUUUUAAAGGAUUAGAGUCAUCCGUUGGUCUUAGGGACUUAUCACUUACUAUGUACAAGGAUCAUGCAUUCAUAAGAUUGUUUAACCUUUAUCUUAGUUAAUCUUCUAGCUACUAUAAUUAUCCCCAUCUUGCAGCUGAGGAAAAUGAGGCUUAAAGAGAUUACGUGACUUGCCCAGGGUCACAGUGCUUACAAAUGGUAGAACUGAAAGUAAACCCUGGCAAAAACAUCUUUGCUUCUUAGCAUUCUAUGCUAAAUUCCUCCUCUGUUCAUUUUAUUUUUUUGAGACAGAGUCUCGCUCUGUCGCCCAGGCUGGAGUGCAGUGGCCCAGUCUUGGCUCACUUCAACCUCCACCUCCCGGGUUCAAGUGAUUCUCCUGCCUCAGCCUCCCAAGUAGCUGGGACUACAGGCAUCUGCCACCACGCCCGGCAAUUUUUUGUAUUUUUAGUAGAGAUGGGGUUUCAUCAUGUUGGCCAGGCUGGUCUCAAACUCCUGACCUCAGGUCAUCCACUUGCCUCAGCCUUCCAAAGUGCAGGGAUUACAGGCGUGAGCCACUGUGCCCUGCACAAUCAUUGGUUUUUAUAAAACAAAAUAUUAUAGCCACAAAAAAUAUCCCAUAACCAUUCUUCCCUACUCCUAUCGUGGUAGAAAAAAACCUAGUUCUUGUCACACAGCCAGGAAAAGGUUCAUCCUCCCUCUAUGCCCAGAGGUAACCAUGACUUGAAUUUAAUGGGGUUUUUUUUAUUUUUAAUUUUUGUGCUACAUAGUAGGUGUAUAUAUUUAUGGAUUACAUGAGUUUUGUUUUUGUUUUUGUUUGUUUUUCAAGACAGGGUCUCACUCUGUCAUCCAGGCUGGAGAGCAGUGGUGUGAUCUCGGCUCACUGCAACCUCUGACUCCUGGGUUCAAGUGAUCCUCUCACCUCAGCCUCCCAAGUAGCUGGGACUACAGGCAUGCACUACCAUGCCCGGCUAAUUUUUCUAUUUUUAAUAGUGACAGGGUUUCACCAUGUUGACCAGGCUGGUCUCGAACUCCUGGGCUCAAGAGAUCCAUCUGCCUUGGCCUCCAAAGGUUCUGGGGUUACAGGCAUGAGCCACCGCACCUGGCCUUUUUUUGAAUUUAGUGUUUCUAAUUCCAUUGUACUUGUCAUACUCUUACUACAUAUGUAGAUUAGCACAAAAAUUACAUAGAAUUAUUUGAAUGUUUUAAAAUUUUAUUUAAGUAAUAUUCUUUAAACCAUUUGCUUUUCAACUCCAGCUUACGUGUUUACACUUUAUUCUCAUUGAUACAUAUAGGAAUCUUGGAAUAGGAAUAUUGCUAUAUAAUGUUCAAUUUUGUAAUAACAUUAUUUAUUCAUUUUCUUGUUGAUUUUUGUUAAUACAAAUAAUAUAUCAAUGGAUAUUUUGUACGUAUCUUUUAAAGCAAAUGUUCUAGAAGUUUUCUAGAUUAUGUACCCAAAAGUGCAAUUACUGUGUCAAAGGGCAUGCAUAUUUUCUACUUUAUUGCCAUGUAGUUCUCCAAUGUGGUAAUACCAAUUUACAUUCCUGCCAGCAAGCUAUGAAUGUUCUCUAUGUUCUAUAUCCUCACCAAUACUUGAAUGUGUCAGAAUUUAAAACGUUUCCCAAUCAACUGUAGUAAAAUGAUAGCUCAUUUUAAUAUAUAGUUUCCUGAUCACUAUAAUAAGCCUUUCUUAUUAUGUUAAUUGGCCAUUUACAUUUCUUCUUCUGUGAGUGUUUUGAUCAUAUUUUCUGUUCAUUUUCAUAUUGGAUUUUUUUUUCUUAUUGAUUUGGAACUCUGGAUACGAAUCUUUUCUCAGUUACGUGUAUUGAAAAUAUAUUCUCCUACUGUCUUUUAACCUCUUAUGAUACCUUUUAUUAUAUCAAAAAUUUUAACUUCAAUGUAGCAAAUGUGUUCAAUUUUAAUAUAUUGCUCUUUCUUUUGAAAGAUAAUGCAUACAGCACAUAGCUUAAACUUCAAGAGGUACAAAAGAGCAUAUAGUAAAAGGUCUAUUCUCUGCCUCUUCAAAUCACCCAAUUCCCUUUAGUGUCCUCCCAGAAUUAUGCACAUAAAAGCAAAAUACAAUAAAUAUUUUCACUUUUUUAAUCCAAA
This is an RNA transcript of Homo sapiens (human), 6900 nucleotides long. It is a transcript of the gene named SEL1L family member 3, with no coding region annotated. The transcript has 25 exons. The record is from RefSeq and is marked validated. Lineage: Eukaryota; Metazoa; Chordata; Mammalia; Primates; Hominidae.